RNAcentral lists this small RNA (3668 nucleotides) under Pan troglodytes (chimpanzee). RNAcentral describes it as "retained intron". Lineage: Eukaryota; Metazoa; Chordata; Mammalia; Primates; Hominidae. The record is from RNAcentral.
CUUAAAAUCUUGUUGCCAGAAACACAAAUUUAUCUAAUUUUGUUUGUCUUUUCAUCUUAAAUUAGGCCACAGUGUCUUGUUAUGACAGGUGCUCCAAACUCACGUCCAGCUUUACUUCAUCUUGUUCAUGAUUUCACAAAAAAUGUUGGUUUGAUGAUCUGUGGCCAUGUACAUAUGGGUCCUCGAAGACAAGCCAUGAAAGAGAUGUCCAUCGAUCAAGCCAAAUAUCAGCGAUGGCUUAUUAAGAACAAAAUGAAGGCAUUUUAUGCUCCAGUACAUGCAGAUGACUUGAGAGAAGGUGCACAGUAUUUGAUGCAGGCUGCUGGUCUUGGUCGUAUGAAGCCAAACACACUUGUCCUUGGAUUUAAGAAAGAUUGGUUGCAAGCAGAUAUGAGGGAUGUGGAUAUGUAUAUAAACUUAUUUCAGUAAGUAUCUUUUUAAUUCAAUAAUCUAGUUCAUUUAGAAAAUGUUAAUUUUGAAAGCUUGUCCUAUUUUUUGGAGACUGUUUCUCAUAUAGUCUCUUCUAAUGGAAAUAUAAGAACGAAAAGAAUCACACAAAGCAUCUGGGUUUUAAAUUGAUAAUCUAUUAACAAUUUUUUAUUGAUCUUUAUAUGUCUCUUUACAUACAUGCAUAUAUAUAUAUAUAUAUACACACACACACACACACAUAUAUGUAUGUAUAUAUAUAUAUGUAUACACUCUGGCUUCUCAUUUAAGUUUGUAAACUUUUUCCUAUCCCUCCAGCUGUUGCUGAGCAGAGUUCCCGAAUGUCAGACCCAUCACCUCCUAAACUAUGUCAUUAUAAUGUGCUGAGGAAGGGUGUUUUAUCGCUGUUUAGGCUUGUUCCCCUUCCAAACAAAUUUUGCAGUUAAUCAUUUGGUUCAUUCAUUAAGUUAUUUACAUUUCUUUUAUUUAAAUGUACUUGUAUGUUUUGUUUUUCUACCACCAUGAAGAGUUAAGUUUGAGUUCACUGUAACUUCGUUUUUUGCGUUGUCUAGUGCAGCAGUCCCCAACCUUUUUGGCACCAGGGACCAGUUUCAUGGAAGACAAUUUUUCCACAGACAUGGGUAGUCGUGGGGUCUGUGGUUUCAGGAUGAUUCAAGCGCAUUACAUUUAUUGUGGACUUUAUAUUAUUAUUACAUAUUCACCGUAAUGUAGACUCAGUGGGAGUCCUGAGCUUGUUUUUCUCCAACUAGGCAGUCCCGUCUGGGGGUGGUGGGAGACAAUUGACGAUCAUCAGGCAUUAAAUUCUCAUAAGGAGCGCACAACCUAGAUUCCUCACAUGCGCAGUUCAUAAUAAAGUUUGCACUCCUUUGAGCAAUUGGUGCCGCUGCUGAUCUGACGAGGUGUACUUCAGGUGGUAAUGCUCACCUGCCCAUGGCUCACCUUCUGCUGUGCAGCCCACCCAGUUCCUAACAAGCCUGGCUCAUUACUGGUCCAUGACCCAGGUAUUGGGGACCCUUGGUCUAGUGCGUUCUUUUUUAUUCUUUGCUACUUUGUCUUUCUGGUUGUAUUCUGUUUGUGGAUUUUGUGGAUGUUUAAUGUAAUCUACCACAUACUUUUUGUUUAAUAACAAUAAAACCUUUUUUUUUGUUUUUGCCAGAUUUUCUUCUUAAUCUUGAAAAGUACUUCUUUUCCUACUAUUCUAAGAUUUGCCUAACCUAUUUAUCUUGUUUAUACUGAAGAUAAGCAUUCCCUCUCCACUAUGCCAUACUUGAUUUGAGGAGUAGUUUUUUUCUCAUCCUAAGCACUGAUGAAAUAGAACUGUCUGCUUCCUCUUAUAAUUGUCCUUUAAAAAAAAUAACUUUUAUUUACAAAGUAGCUUUAAGAUUAAAGUUUAAGUCCUAUUUUCUCCAUGAAUUUUGAUCUGAUCACCCUUUUUUCUCACUGGAGUUACUUCCUUACUGGAACUCCUGUUGUAUCUUUGGCUAUAACCACAUAUAUUUGCCUGUCUCACAUAUGAUGGUUUUAUUAGUGACAUUUGAAAAGUCUUUGAGGAAGCAGCUGGAUCUCAUACUCUACUUUUUAAAGGAUCUCUUUAUAUGGAUUAGUAAUAUAUAUGAUAAACAAGAUUUACCAACUAAUCGUUAAAUGCUUUUAGUAAAAUUAAAACUGCUGAUGUGUUGUAUGUUGUCACUACUGUUGAGUUUUGGUUUUAUUAAUGUUUUUGUAAGCAAAACCUCAUUGUGGCUUUCUAAUUUUGUAUUAUGUAUAUAUAGGGAUUAGGGACAGAAAGAUUAAUGUGGUCCAUGAGCCAUGAAACCCAUGAGCCAUGGGCUAUGUUUUUUCCCUCUCAAGACCUAAGAGCAGUGAGAUGACGUAAUUAUCCUAAAAAAUAGAAAAAGUGACAUUUUUUACAAAUUAUUUCAUACACCUGUCACAUUAUUAGUUGUAGUUGCUCAUAAUGGAACACUGGAAGGGGUCUUUCUGACUCUGACUUUCUAGGGAUUAAACUGAGUGAGUGUUCUGAAAGUUGAGUAUUAGUCUUAACAUUAUUCCUGUACAUUAGGCAGCAGUUAAAGAAUAGGUAAAAUACUGCUUUCUGGUUUUAGAACCAUGUAAAUUAAUAGCAGUUUCACAGCAGUGACACUGCUUAUUCUUUAUCUUGUUGCACUUCCACUGAUGUUUUAGCUGUGAUUUUUAAAUACCUUGUGCAAUUUAAGUAUGCUUUAUAUAUUGUGUUUUUAUUAAUAGUAUAUAAGAUCUGAAGCUGCAAAUCAAUUUUUAUAGCUUAUAACAAAAACAUUUAUUUGUUUUAAUCCACAGUAAACUUGAGGAGCUAUAUUCCCUGGCUUUAAAGAAAUUGGUUUUGAUUUAGUCGAUUUAUUAACCAAUUUUAAAAUGCUUAUAGUUAUUUUUUCUCUAGUAUUAAUUAGAUCUUUAAAGAUACAGCUGAGAAAGAUUAACAUGCCUAUUAAAUUUAUUUCUCCAGUGACUUUGUUAACUUUAGCUCAUCAUUAGGAAUGUGGCCAAAUUGUCUCUCCAUGAUUUAAAAACAACAAAAGACCUUUUAUAACCAUAUAUUAUAUCCUGAACACAUUCUUCCAUUUGUCAGUAAGAGUAAUAAUUUGACUGUUUUAUUGGAUUUUAGCCUUUUUGAUUUCAUACAGCUGUAUCUUAAUAUAUCAGUUUUUAAUAUGUCUACAUUGAAUACUUAUUACUUGUGCAAUGAAAAAUAAUAAUUAAAGAUGAAAGUUAAGCCUGUUACCACUUUCAGAGAACAACAUGACGUUUUGGAAUUUAAAAUUUUUUCAGUAGAUUUGAGAAAAACUUGGGUUAAAAUGAAGAUUUAUGCUCAGAACUGAGAUUCCAGGGUUUAAGUCUGGUUUUAAAGCUGUCUUCAAGAUUUUAAUGUAUUUUCUGUGUGUAUAGGAUGCUCUCAUUUCUGUUUUUAAAAAUGAAAGGGAUCAUGCCUAUAAUCCCAGCAUUUUGGGAGGACAAGGCAGGUGGGUCACGAGGUCAGGAGUUCAAGACCAGCCUGGCCAAUGUGGUGAAACCCUGUCUCUACUAAAAAUACAAAAAUUAGCCAGGCGUGCUGGUGUGUGUCUGUACUCCCAGCUACUCGGGAGGCUGAGGCAGGAUUGCUUGAAACCGGGAGGCAGAGGUUGUAGUGAGCCAAGAUUGUGCCACUGCACUCCAGCCUGGGCAACAGAGCGAGACUCUGUCUC